GGGGCAUUGAAGGGAAUUGGUCUACCUUCCUGACUUAGAAUCAGGAGCUUCUCGGUUCGAGUCCGAGGUGCCCUACCA
Molecule: transfer RNA, 78 nt
Filed under: Pseudomonas phage PPSC2
Lineage: Duplodnaviria; Heunggongvirae; Uroviricota; Caudoviricetes; Vandenendeviridae
Description: tRNA-Leu
Rfam family: tRNA
About the family: Transfer RNA (tRNA) molecules are approximately 80 nucleotides in length.
Source: RNAcentral